GACGAACGCUGGCGGCGCGCUUAACACAUGCAAGUCGAACGGAAAGGCCUGCUUUCCCUUGUGGAUUGCGGGUACUCGAGUGGCGAACGGGUGAGUAACACGUGAGUUAUCUGCCCCCAACUUGGGUAUAAGCCUGGGAAACUGGGUCUAAUUCCCGAUAGGACUGCAGGGUGGUGCCUGUGGUGGAAAACGAUUUUCUAGUGGUUGGGGAUGAGCUCGCGGCCUAUCAGCUUGUUGGUGGGGUAAUGGCCUACCAAGGCGGCGACGGGUAGCCGGCCUGAGAGGGUGGGCGGUGACAUUGGGACUGAGAUACGGCCCAGACUGCUACGGGCGGCAGCAGUGGGGAAUAUUGCACAAUGGGCGGAAGCCUGAUGCAGCGACGCCGCGUGGGGGAUGACGGCCUUCGGGUUGUAAACUCCUUUCGACCGCGAGGAAGCCACCUGGUUGGAAGGGUGGUGACGGUAGUGGUAGAAGAAGCACCGGCUAACUACGUG
RNAcentral lists this ribosomal RNA (494 nucleotides) under uncultured bacterium. RNAcentral's name for it is "partial 16S ribosomal RNA". It matches the Rfam family "Bacterial small subunit ribosomal RNA", at positions 28 to 507 of the family's 1533-position model. The record is from RNAcentral.